Molecule: small nuclear RNA, 19 nt
Filed under: Arabidopsis thaliana (thale cress)
Lineage: Eukaryota; Viridiplantae; Streptophyta; Magnoliopsida; Brassicales; Brassicaceae
Description: snRNA_03793
Source: RNAcentral
ACAUGAGCAUCAGAACCGU